CCAUAUAGAUUAUCCUUGUAGUAAGGAACUGUUGAAAGCAAGGUAUCAUCGAUGUCAAAAAUCCAAGCAUCGAAUCCAUCUUUCUUCAGAUUACAGCUUGUGCUGAGAUAAACCAGACAUUCUUCAGUUGCUCUCUGUGAGUCCACUUUGUACUGUGUGGAAGUGACAUAUUUUCCAAUGUACUCAAUGCAUUCUUCAGGCACAACUUGAAACUCCCUGAUGUUGUGCAGUUCCACAUUCAUCCUCCAACUCUCACAGUAGUUCUUCAAGCUGAUCUUCAAUCCAUCAUGUGUCUGCAGUUUCAGUAUGUUCCAAUCAGCAGCACCUGCUAGAGGAACCAAAAGACAUGUCAAAACCAGACACCACCACACUGUUUUCUCCAUUUUCUCUUCCUUGGAGAAAACUGCAUGCAAGGAGAGUUUAGCAGAUGAUAGAACAACUCUAACUAGCCAUUCCCUUUUAAAGUAUGCAGAUUUCAAUGUUCUGAGAAUGUGAGCAAGUCAUCACAUGGGUCUGAAUCAAUAAAAAAUUAGCUGCAUCAGGCACAUGGUGCUAUAUAGCUGGCAAGAGUGCCAGAACUGAAGAAAAUGUCAAUUAUGAGGAAGGAAAUUCUGUCUAUUUCAUUUCAAAGUCAGAAGCUUUAUUGUAAAAGACAAAAUUAUAGUUCAUGCUUUCACAUUUUCACAUGACAAAAUAGGUUUUAUAUGUUGAAUACAAACACCACAAGAAUAAGCCUCUCACAUGAACAAUUAUGCUAUCAUUUUUCAUUUUUUAUCACUACAUAUAAAUUAAACAUCUCUAGCUAUCUCUGAAAAAUAAGUUUAUAUAAUUAUUUUAUUAGUGUAAAACUAAUAUUUAUAUGUUUUCACAUAGAUACAUGUUUUCUAUAUUACCUAAAUGUUUUUGUAUAUAUAUUUUUCCAACAAUGAUAACAAUAUUUUUUAUUUAUAUUUAUUUAUAUAUUUAUAAAAUAGUUUUAAAUAUAUCAAAUUUUAACACAAUUUAUAAAAUAAUAUAUUCCAACAAUAAAUAAAUAGUUUAGUAAUUAUCCAAUAAUAAAUUAAACAAUAUAUUCCAAAAGCUCAAAUCUCGCAGGCCUGACUUUCCACGGAUUUUAUAAAAAAUAAUAUAUACAGAUAAACGAAAUACAAAUGGAUAUAUUUUCCUCUCAGUUUUUAUAUUUUAUUUCCUAUCUAUUGAAUAACAAAAUGUAAAGUGUUAAAACUUCAUAUUAUCCUACCUAAUUCUUUUAACACUUUGGUUGAGUUAUACAAAUGUUGGAUAUAGUUUUCCAAAUUUAAUUUGUUAUAUUUGAAAAAAAAAAACUAUUUUGAUUUCUCAAAGGUAGUGUUUAGAGACUAAAAUUAUAUUUUUUAAUUAAUUAUCAAGAAACUAAAUUUAAGAAACUAUAGCAAAAAUUAUCUUAAAAUUUCACGAGCUAAAAAUGUAAUUAAAAUUAAAAUUUAUUAAUACGUAUAAUAAAUUAUGAAGUGAUAUAAUUCCACAAAUAUCUCUAACUUGAUAGAAUUAUUUUUUUCUAAUAAUUGUUAUAAAUUCGAAAUCGUAAGUAGAAAGUUCGGGAAUUUAAAAUAGAAAAUUUAUCCAUUUCGAAAUUAUAAUUCUGAUAACUGAGGAUAAUAAAGUGAUCGUUUACAACAUCAUAUCAUAUACUAAAAGAAUUUAAUAGAUUCUUACAAUCCCACUUUUAAGUAAUUCAUAGACUAAUUUGCUCUCUUAAUAGAAAAAAUCUCAAAGGAUUCAUAUUUAAUAGCGUUUUAUUUAAAUUUAUUUUUUAUUUCAAAUGAAUAUAUUUAUUCAUAUUUUAAUUAAAGCCAUAAAACCAUAUCCUAUAAAGCAUAAAACACUAUUUUUUUUAUGAAAUUAUUCGUACCAUGUAAAAUUGUUCUAAUAAAAAAAAUCAAAAUAUUAUAUCUUCAAAUACAAUACUCGCAAAAUAAACUUGUCUUAAAAGUAAUUUUCUGCAAUAUUAAAUUUAAGGGUACAAAUUAUUAGGUUAGUUGUUAGCUACUACUGCUUUUUUAUGUUAUUUAAUAAUAAAAGUGAUCAUAAUAAGAUUUUUUUUUUCUUUUACAAAAUUAUAAUAAGAUACUAAGUUGCUAGGUUUAUUAUAAAACUGUAAUAAUAAAUUAAGUAGGGUAUAACACUUAUGGAAGUUGCUUUUAUCAUGCUGGCACGUUUAUGUUAUAAUAUAACUAAAUAAUUUUUAAAUAAAUCUAAGUUUAUCAUUUUUAAUCAAUUCUCCAUCUAUAAAGUAAUCAAAGUUUUUCAACUUUACAAAACAAUUAAUGACACUUUGUUAAUUUUUUAAUUUUCUAAUAACAUGUUUAAUGUGAAAACUAAUUGGAUAGUGUUAUUCUUUUGUAAUAAUACAUGAGUAAGGAUGAAAUUGUUUUACUAUUUUUUUUUUCCAUUUUGAUAAUUUCUUAAUAUUACCCCAAAAAUAAAACCCUAAUUCUGCAAAAGGUCAAAGCCAGGUUUGAAUUCGUCCAUUUUCCCUCUUUCAUUCUGAAUUUUUCAAUCACUUUACCGUAUACCAACUCUGCAAUCUCAAUUUUUCUUUCUAUUGCUUUCUGCCAAUCUGGUUUUCUGAAAAAUGCAGCGACAAUAAUUAAAAAAAAGGAAGAAGCGAGUAUGAGACUGUUUUUGCUUUUGCGGUUUCUAUUUUGUGUUUUACUUGUUUCGUGUAAUCCAAUGCGUAAAAUGAAUUUUGCUACAAUGUUGUUCUCUUAACACGGUAGAUCUUCUGACAUUGUAGAGUUGGUGGUGGGUCAUGAUAAUUUAACAAAACAAAGGUGAAAAGUCUUCCCUUUUUGUGUUACCCUUUGGGUUAAAUUUUUCAAAUUCUAAACGUUGUUUGAAGUGAAUUUGGUUGGGGUGACAUGCAUGUUGGUUUUCAUGAGAUUUCAUUCAGUGAGUUUGUCAGCAUUUUUUUCCCUAUGGCACUUCGUUAUAAACUUAACUACGGUACUGUGUUAUGUUUCAGGACGAGUUACCUCUGCUGGAAACAAGUUCAAAAUGUCACUGGGUUUGCCAGUGGCAGCUGUGGUGAGCUGUGCUGACAACACUGUUGUAGGCUAAGAAUCUUUACAUCAUAUCCGUGAAAGAAAUGAAGGAUUGCCUCAACAGAACGCAACGUGAACCCCAAAACAGACAGAAACUUACAAGAGAAAACCAGUGAACCACAAAACUGUUACUCAGGUAUGUUCUGUUUAAAUCAAUGCCUAGAAACACACAAAUCCAGUGCCGUUUUUUGCUUUUUUCUAGUGUCCAACCGAGCUGCUUGAGCUUAUUCUGAACUUGCGAUUUUACGCGAGUUUGCUCGAGUUCACACGAGCCUACUCAAAAAAGAUCAUGCGUGAGAGUUCACUAGGUUCAAGGGCACGUCUAAUGCACUUUUAGGGGUUUUAGAACUUGUUCUUUUCUUACUGAAAUGGAAGGAUUCAAAUGUUGCUGGUUGAGCAUCACAUAUCUUUUUAAUAUUAUUCACGAGGAUAUGUUAGCUUGAUGUAUAACUAACUAGCUAGAUCGAUGCAUGCUAUCGAAUAUAUCGAAUUGGAUCUCUCAUGCGAUCUUACUUUUCGCCAGUACAUUGUUUCAUUCUUUCCAAUUUUUUUCUGCUUUAUGAUGAAUGAUGUUCUGUUCUGUUGAUAUUUAUUAUUGAAAGAUAACUUAGCGCAGUUUGGUUUUAUAAAAAAAAUACUGGUAAUGUACUAUGAAGAUCUUAAUUUUGAGGUUUUUCUGCACUUCUUAAGGCCAGUUAUCCUUAUACUCUACCAUACCCUUACCGGUCCCUUUUGUUUAUCAUCUCUGUCAAGAUUUGGGGUUUUUUAUUUUUCUUAUAUUUUUCGAUUUUUAUUAUGAAAUUUCUGUUCAUUUGGGAAAUGGAAUGUCCGAAGAUAUACAAUUUAUAAGUGAAGGUUUUGAUAAUACUUAUUAUUAGUUUUGUGGACUUCAUCUCUCUUUCUUUCUCUCUCUCAUCUUUUUAAGGUUUUAAUUAUCUGAUAGAUAGUUUCUAUCUCCCGACUUUAGUCAGGUAUUCUCCUAAAAAAUAUUAUGCUUGAUACAGUUACAAGUCUGGAAAAUUAAUGUGCCCAUCGUUACAGAUGUGAUAGCCUUCUCGUGCUUACACCUGCUCCAUUGGGGCUCUACACAUUUGUGGCUGAAUUUUACGUAUUUCUCUGUUACACUAUAUAUUAUAUAUUAUACAAAGACAAAAAGAAAUUGUUUUUUAGGGUAUUUUUAGUUUUGGUUUUCUUUACGAACUAAAAUCUUUUUAAAAUUUUUGAAAUCCUAUAUCCUCAGUUUAUAUGUUGACAUAUUUCCCUAUAUAAGUCAUACUUUACUCAUUUCAUUUGCAUUAUUGUCUCCAGACAUUAGUAAGCUAUCCUGCUCAACAAAAUGAAAAAUAGGUAGGCCCUCUAAGAUCUCAUUCUACGAUUGGCAGUCAUGUCAGCAAGCUCCAAUGGUGGAAACCUAUAAGAACAACUUAUUUCCAAGAACCUCUGUUAGAGCUGCCAUUGGCCUAAUAUGGGAGAGAUAUGAGCUUCUGGACUAUCAAUUUUCUUAGAGGCAUGGUUCUGGAGUAUUAUUUUCAAUCCUGGGCUUAUGACAUUUUUAUCAAUAAUAUUCUCUUAAUACAGUUAUCCAUUUCCAAGAACCCCUGUUAGAUUGGCCUAAUAUGGUAGAGAGAUGAGCAUCUGGACUAUCAAUUUUCUUAGAGGCAUGGCUCUGGUGUAUUAUUUUCAAUCCUGGGCUUAAGACAUUUUUAUCAAUAAUAUUCUCUUGAUACAGUUACCCAUUUCAUGCUUCUGCUUUUUGGGCAUUUUUGAGCCUUGAAUUGCAUACCAGAUUUUUGUACCAGUUAUUUUCAUAUUUGACCCACUUUCUGUUUGUUCUGGAAUAAUGGUCAAAAGGGAGACAGUGAUGUUGUUUUCAUCUUUUAGUUCAGAAAAUGGACAUUAGUAAGAGCCUCAGUCCUGGCAAGGUAAUUCAGUGUCGGUUACAAUCGUGGCCUUGUGAUACAAAUGCUGAUGAUGCAGCCAUGGUGAGGCUCUUCUCUUCUGUCUCUUGCCUGUGUAAAGAUGAAUCUGAGUCUUUUUUUCUGAAACCCUGCUAUUAGGGUUACUCUUAUGAGUCAUUAGUUUAAGUAUGAGGCUCCACUCUUUGAGAGAAGGUUGUCUUGAUAGCUGUUACCCUCUUGAAGUUGAUGUGUUAGCCAAUGAUCAUUAUAAUUGAGUUUACCAAACAGCUCUCCACAUACAUACACGCACACAAACAUAUAUAUCUUUCUGCUUCUACUGCGAUUCAGCUACUUCUUCUUCUUCUUCUUCUUGCUAUUACGAGGCAAUGAUGAUGUUUUCUGCAAUUAGACCAGAUAUGAGUGAAGAGUUGUGUCCUGGCUAGGUGACUUGGUAUCUGUGUGAAAUUUACCUUUUGGUUCUUGCACAGAUGCUAUUGACGCAGCCUGUGCACAAGUCAUUCCCUUUGCUGUCUGAAAAAAGGCGAAUCUGAGCCUCCUUUAUUCAUAAUAAUUUUAACUUUCUGACAUAAUUAUAAAUUUGUAUUUUCCUUCUGAAUGCUUUAAUAUGGCAGUUGACAGGAACACAUUAGUUUACUCCGUUCAUUGUUCACCAAUAUGGCCGAUGCUUUUUAUUGCUCUUAAACUAGUACUUUCCUCUAGUUUCCAAUAUUUCUGCAUUUGUAUGUGACUUGGGGAGUGACAUGUGGCUGAAAAGUGUCUUUUUUGAGCAAUUGAUAAUAAUUUUAUUUUUGAGGUUUCUCUGCCCCUCUUAAGACCAGUUAUCAUUAUACUACACCAUACCCUUUGCGAGCCCUUACUAUAAUUUCAGUUUACAAUUUAGCAGCCAUGUUAGCAAGCUCCAAUGGCGGAAACCCAUGAACUACUUAUUUCUUAGAUCGGAGAGCGAUGAGGUUUUGGACAAUCAAUUUUUCGAAGAGGUAUGGCUCUGGUUUGUUAUUUGCAUGCCUGGGCUCAGGACAUUUUCCUCCAUAAAACUCUGUUAAUACAGUUAUCCAUUUCAUGCUUCUGAUUUUUGGGUCUUGAAUUGCGUAUCAGAUUUUUGUUGUUCUAGUAAUUAUCAUGUGGAUUUGCAUCCUGUAAUAUAGAACCGGUGGAAGAUUAUGUUUGAUCCAAUUUCCUUUAUUUUGAUGUUAUUUUCUCCUCAAACAAAUAGUCUCACUUCUUAUUUUAUUUUUAUUUUUCACACUUCCUUUCAUUUUUCUCCAUUUCAUAUAUAUUCAUUUUUGGAUUUAUGUUUUCACUCUGCACACAAAUACAAUCAUGUAAAAAAUUGAAAAAAAAAAUUAUACAUAACUUGAAAUGGAGGGAGUAAAUUAAAAUUAAAAUUCUGUUAUUGGAAUGAGAGCUUGAUUUGUAUAAAUUAGAAUUUGUAAGAAAUUAACCAUAUUUAGGGGAUCUGAAGCAUAAUUAACUAACUUUUGAAGUAAGAUUUCACAAGACAUUUAUACUGUAAAUUAAUUUUAUUUCUGGACCAUCUACAUGUCCAAUUGCAUGGAACAAGUUACUCUUUAAUAAAAGUUGUAAAUGAGGAAGAAACAAUACAAUUACACAUUAGGCAACAUAGUAAAUUGGAUUUGGGAGUUUAAAUGCCCUUUCGGGGCUUGGAAUUCCUUCAAUGCUACUGUAUUGGUCCCCCAGAAUGCCCCAAAUGCGAUAACCAUCAUUUAUUAUUUUCUUUCUCACAUCAGAUUUAUACUUUUUCACUGAUACCAAUUCAUUUGCAGGAUCCCUGCACAGAAACAAAAAUGAAAGGAAAAGAGAAACAUUUAGCCAAAAAUCGAGGACUAUUGAAAGAAAUGUAGAGGUAAUGGUACUCACCUAAAGAUAAUUUUAGUCCAACCAUAGUAACCAACUUUUACAAGGUUGUCAAUUGUGGCUGAUCUGAGAUGCUCCUUCCUUGAAGUAACCAAAAGGAUUUGCACACCCCUGGAUUUAAGUUCAUUGUAAAGCUUCAACGAGUGAUCAAGAGCAGGUGCAUUACCCUUUUUCAUCCAUUCCUCUAGAGAUGUCACACUCAGUUUCCUUCCCCUAUUGUCAAAGAAUUCGUCAUUAUUCACAAUGAUCAUGAACAAGCAAAGGAGAUCGAAGUAGCAAUAGAAUCUGAACAAUUUGUUUGUAUUCACAAUAGAUGAUCUGAGAAAGUUUAAAGACCAAUUCCUGACAUGUUAACUCAAUGAAAAGUUGAUUCUGAUUUAAAAUGGUUGAUUGAAACACUUUGUUGUAAUUUUACAUUGAUCACUAACGUUUACUAUUACUUGUUAGAAUAAGAAGGUCAAACGUAAAACUUAUCACUUUAAAACAAGUUUUAAGCAAUAUCUAUUAACAUGUUCAAGUACUUUCACAGUAACAGAUGCAGCAAUAUAUUUCUCCAAAAGUACGUUUAAACAUCCAAAAACACUUCUUAAAGUUUAAUGUAUUACUUUUUCUCAUUUUUACUCCGACAUUUAAGUUAUACUUGGAUUCUGAGAAUAUUAUGACAGAAAAAAUAGACUUAGAAAGAAAUUUGUAAUUACCCAUAGAGAUUAUCCUCGUAGUAAGGAAGAGUUGAAAGCAAGGUAUCAUCGAUGUCAAAGAUCCAAGCAUCGAAUCCAUCUUUCUUCAGAUUACAGCUUGUGCUGAGAUAAACCAGACACUCUUCAGUUGCCCUCUGUGAGUCCACUUUGUACUGUGUUGAAGUGACAUAUUUUCCAAUGUACUCAGUGCAUUCUUCAGGCACAACUUGGAACUCCCUAAUGUUGUGCAGUUCCACAUUCAUCCUCCAACUCUCACAAUAAUUCUUCAAGUUCAUCUCCAAUCCAUCACCUGCUAGAGGAACCAAAAGGCAUGUCAAAACCAAACACCACCUAAGUGCUUUCCCCAUUUUCUCUUCCCUGGAAAAAAGUGCAUGCAAUGAGAAUUUA
Molecule: long non-coding RNA, 7962 nt
Filed under: Vigna radiata
Lineage: Eukaryota; Viridiplantae; Streptophyta; Magnoliopsida; Fabales; Fabaceae
Description: long non-coding RNA (VRAD_LNC007694)
Source: RNAcentral